Cryptotermes secundus is the source of this 1062-nucleotide long non-coding RNA. RefSeq lists it as uncharacterized. The record is from RefSeq and is a predicted model, not a curated record. NCBI's taxonomy places the organism in Eukaryota, Metazoa, Arthropoda, Insecta, Blattodea, Kalotermitidae. The transcript is spliced from 3 exons.
UCUAAAUUUUAAAUUUUAAAUUUAAAAUUCUUAGGGUUACUCGCCCUAUGUCAAAGUGCUGGAGCGGCUAGUUCAUGUUUUCCCACUGUAAAGGUAUCAUUUGUCGUGUAGAGUGCAACAGGAUGCUUAAAUAUAAUAUUGUAGACGUUAAACUAGACUGUGGGAGGUCCAGUUGAAUAUUGCAAAUGUUUUUUUUUAUAUUGUCAUGUAUUCGGUGUUCCAUGACCUGUAACUGUGGAUUCUAGAUUUGAUGAACAGGUUCAUUUGACAUCACUCUCGCAACUACACUACAUUUAACUCCUUCUGGAUACCAAGUCCCUCACUAUUGUCUGCAUCUUGCACCUCUGGUCUUCUGUAAUUCUCUUCUAUUCUCUUUUCAUCUUCUGUGUGCUGUUUUAUUCUGUCUUCACUUCUGCACUUCUCAACUGAUUUUCUGUCCUCUUGGUCUCUGACAGUUGGACGGUCCCUUGUUCAAGGGUUCUGUUUCACGUUUUCGAUGCAACAAUAGCUAGUGUAUUUGUUACCGCAGGGACUGCACUUGUACUGGUUUUCAUUUCCGUGGUAACCCUCUGUUAUACAUGCGUUGUCGCAUGAACAUCUUUAAUUUCCACCCAGACAACAAUGGAAGAACGUGACUACCGAGCUGUUGUCUAGCAAUGGAAGCCCCCUCUGACUCAGAUAUUUUGGUUUUAGGUGGCACGCUACACUAUAUUUGUUUCAUGAAGCAGUAAAUGUAUCAAACAGCAUGAUGAAAUUUGUAAUCCUGCUUUUUUAUAUGAUGACAAGAAUUUCUCAGAUUGUUGAAGAAUGUGUGAGGACGGUGAAAGGAUCAGAGUGUAUAAUCACGAAUGAAUGGACGCAUGUUGUAUAUAAUGCUAUUACAUAUUUAUACUUUCAUCACGUGGUGAAUACCCCAGACAGCAGUCCAUGUAAUGGCACAAAAUAUAGUAAAAACAUGAUAUUAAUUUUCUUAGAGUUCAGUGGAAAUGUAGAUCAUACAAGUUGAACACCUGCUGCAUCUAGAUAGUUUUUCAAGUAUGCACGAUUAGCAUCUGAGAGACC